RNAcentral lists this microRNA precursor (101 nucleotides) under Marmota monax (woodchuck). Lineage: Eukaryota; Metazoa; Chordata; Mammalia; Rodentia; Sciuridae. The record is from RNAcentral.
AUAUAGGCCACCCUGGGAUCUUGUUAAAAUGCAGAUUUUUGUUCAGUAAAACUAAGGUAGAGCCAAAGCUACAUUUCUAACCAGUGCCUAAUGGUAAUACU